CCACUGGGAAAAUGGCUUCGUCCUCUGCUUCUCCUCAGUGACAUGCGCAGUGCGCGCAGCUAAACUCGGUCAUUCCGUAGGACGGACUAAUUGACGCGGUAGUAGCGAAACCUGCAGGGAGGGAAGGCGAAGCGCUGUCGGUAUCGACAGGGAGUAUCUAUAACACCGAUAUGAAUCACAGCUUCAGAUCUGAUUUGAUUCGCCGUGAGAUCUGACCUAUAUCUGAACUCUCCAAUAGCAUCAGACAUAAGCGACUCUUAACUCGUCUGAAGUUUGACACAUUUCGCGCGUACUGUAUCUGUUUUGAUUUAAGUAUGCUAAUCUUGUUUUAAUAAUCUUGUCUUUGUCGUUGCGUUUGGUUGCGUUCAGUUUUAACCCUCGCGACUCAGCUGACUCCUUCGGACGUCGAGGUGACAUUAUUUACCAGCGAUGGCAGACGUAGUCAGGCCUGCUUCCCCCUCACCCUCCAUCUCCCUCCUGGAGAUCAAAGCGGAGGCGCGGUUGGUGCUGAAGUCUUUUCUGCGUCACUCUCUCUCGAUUCCUCCCGGUGAGCGCCCUGGAAGGAUAGGAGGAGAAUACAAGGACCCCAAACAAAUACAGAGCCUCAACAAAAGACAAAAUAAAGAAAGAUGCAAAUGGGUGGGACUCCUUGGAUGAGGAGAUCAGUGCCGCAGAGGAAAAGAAACAUGGCAUUAAAGAUUUAAUAAAAAGAAGACUGAGAUCCCGUUCGUCUAUGAUCCGCCGUGCUAAGAAAGACGGCAGUUCUGACCCGACUCCAAACAACACCCUGGAGAAGCAGAGUCAGCCGGGCCAGUCUGACAAGCCAUCAACAAAUGGAACUCACAGUUUCCCCAGAAAAACAGAGGGAGAGAUAUUCACACCAUCCUCUGCAUCUGAAGAGGAAGGCGACA
This is a long non-coding RNA of Cyprinus carpio (common carp), 911 nucleotides long. RefSeq lists it as uncharacterized. NCBI's taxonomy places the organism in Eukaryota, Metazoa, Chordata, Actinopteri, Cypriniformes, Cyprinidae. The record is from RefSeq and is a predicted model, not a curated record. The transcript is spliced from 4 exons.